Molecule: ribosomal RNA, 515 nt
Filed under: uncultured bacterium
Lineage: Bacteria
Description: partial 16S ribosomal RNA
Rfam family: Bacterial small subunit ribosomal RNA
Source: RNAcentral
GACGGACGCUGGCGGCGUGCCUAAUACAUGCAAGUCGAGCGGACUUUCAAGAAGCUUGCUUUUUGAAAGUUAGCGGCGGACGGGUGAGUAACACGUGGGCAACCUGCCUGUAAGACGGGGAUAACUCCGGGAAACCGGGGCUAAUACCGGAUAAUAUCUUUCUUCGCAUGAAGGAAGGUUGAAAGGCGGCGCAAGCUGCCGCUUGCAGAUGGGCCCGCGGCGCAUUAGCUAGUUGGUGAGGUAACGGCUCACCAAGGCGACGAUGCGUAGCCCACCUGAGAGGGUGAUCGGCCACACUGGGACUGAGACACGGCCCAGACUCCUACGGGAGGCAGCAGUAGGGAAUCUUCCGCAAUGGACGAAAGUCUGACGGAGCAACGCCGCGUGAGCGAAGAAGGUCUUCGGAUCGUAAAGCUCUGUUGUCAGGGAAGAACAAGUACCGUUCGAAUAGGGCGGUACCUUGACGGUACCUGACCAGAAAGCCACGGCUAACUACGUGCCAGCCGCCGCGGUAA